Molecule: long non-coding RNA, 2677 nt
Filed under: Carassius auratus (goldfish)
Lineage: Eukaryota; Metazoa; Chordata; Actinopteri; Cypriniformes; Cyprinidae
Description: lncRNA (ENSCARG00000022406.1)
Source: RNAcentral
AAAUAAAGCAAAUCAGAAUGAGCAAAUGUUGAGUUUUUAAUGUAUAUUCUACUUCAAAUAUAUGCCAUACCUUUGAACUUUUUCCUCAUAGAAUUUGGGGAAAGAAUUUUUUUUAUUACGGUUUCCACAAAAACAUUAAGCAAUACUAAAUUCAUAAUAAAAAUAAUUAUAAAUAUUUCCAAAUGACAUUUGAACAGUAGUGUAUAUAUUCCAUAAAUUAAACAAACAUAUUUAUUUGAGCAUUUUUUCCCCCUUCACAAACAUUUGGGUAACAGAAGCGAAUGGUUAACAGUCGAAGAAUGCAGUCAGCAUCUGGUUCUCUUUAAUUGAGUUGUAACUGGUACAUGUGUUAUAGCAAACACAGAUCAGAAAGAUCAAAAUGAAAGGAUAAUUAAAAUAAAGAUUGAAUUAUUGAUAGCCUUAGACAAACAUCUAUGCUGGAAGCAUGAGGGAUACCCUUCAUUGUGUCCAUAUCCCUUGAUUAACACAAUUGAACCAGAUGAGUCAUCAAUCAAUGAUCUUCUCUGGAACAUAUCACUUCAAAAAUCAAUUUUCUAUUUUCUGUCCUUUAUUGACUGUUUCACCCCUUCUCUCUUCUCUCGUGCCCCUAGGAUUCAUCUGGUUCCAUGGAUAGAGUUCAGUAAGUGGUUUCCCCCCUUUUCAGAUUGGUUAGUUCAGACGAUUGAUUUUGCUCUUAUUCCAGAGCUUUCCCCCACUUUACACUGCUCCGUGUCCUAAACUCUGUCAUCCAGCCUGAGCCCUAUCGAUUACUUCUAUUGUCAUCUGUCUCUGUUCAUCUGUCCAGUACACAGUUAGAGGAGAGUCAUAGUAUUUUUUCUUUAUGAAUGAUCUAUGAUACUGAGCUUCUGCAGAAACACAGCAGUUUAUCUCCUGACAAAGACUGAUCUGUAAUAUAUUGCAGGAUGCUGGAGGAGUACAACAAAGAGCUACAUGAGAACCUGUUGCAGACAGUGGCAUGCAUUGAGAAUAUGGAGGCAGAAUUGCAAUGUACCAAAACAGAGUUAGUCAGCUUUAAAGAGAAAUACAGAAGGCUACAGGAAAGCUAUUCUGUUUCUCAGCAGGCAAACAGUGUCUUGGAGCAGAAACUCAAAACUGCAGCAGACAGCUUGGACUCAGAGAGGAAGUUUCUCAUGCAGAGAAUUGCAGAUCUGACUAAACAGCUGGAUACGUCUCAGAAGACCAUCAGCUCUCUGGAAAACAUCAAUGUUCCCUCAAUGAUUAGAGAGUUGUUGAAAAAUCAUUUAGACUCUCAUGAAGCACCGGAGCACUUCUUAUGUCCUCGAACAUCUCCAGGCCAAACUGAUGGUGACCAAUCAGAGAGGGUGAAGGAGCUCAGAAACAACCAACCAUUUGAUGGAAAAGGGGAUGUUUUUGAAUGGCCACAGACAGGACACACAUGCUCAGGUGCCAGAAAACAGCCUGUCACAGUCUUUCUGCCGUGGAAACAUGAUCACGAUCCAUGGGCAGAGCCAGGGCAACUUGUGACUGAAGGAAGUGACUCACAACUUCCUUUUUCUUUUACUAAUGAUGUGCCUAUCCACAAAAUGAUGGCAGUUACAAGGGCACCAAGUCAUGAAGUGCACCAAUUAGCCAUGAACACAGAGAUCCACUUAAUUCCCAGAAACCCAUUUAAUCUAGAUGAGAUGAGGCCCAGCAGACAGACAGGUGGAGAGGGAACUGUCACUGAUGUCAACUAUCUUACAGCUCAAAGGAUGCUGAAUGAGUUUUUGAACCAGAUUCCUCCUCCAGUGAAUGAUGCUGAAGGGAAAGAUGCAGCAGACAUUUAAUUUGACGUCCGUGUGUAAACUGUAUUUGUAAAAAAAAAAUCUCUAGCAUCUCCCAUUACCAAUAUUUUAGCAAGGAUGCAAAUAACUGUGGCUCUGAUGGGUCUGGUAUUUGUGAAAUACACUUAAUUUCUAGCUUAACAAGUACAAUUUCUCAAAAGUUAUCCUUAAUAUUAUUGUUUGUUUUACCUUUUUGCCCUGGACAAUGUGAAAUAUUUAAAGAUUGGUUAGAAAUAAAGUAAUAUAGCUAGAUAUUCAUAUUAAUUUAUAACUAAUUUAACUAAUUAACUAAUUUACAAAUUGUAAAGUUUGCCUUUCUAAAAUUAAAAUUAAACUGGAGAGUGUAUUUAUUGUAUACUGUGACAUUUAGGAAAGUUUGAAUUGUUGUUUUUGUAAAAUCAGAUCAAAUAUUAGUUAUAGUUUCUGCUAGAAAAAAAAAGCCACAUAACCAUGUACAUUUAUUAUAGAAUAUCCUUGUAUUUUUUAUUUGAAAUGUAUUAAUAAAGUCUUGUGUGCUAACUUGCUCUACAUUUCGGAGUGGUUUAUAUCUGUCUUAGUGCCUUUAAGGGUGUCUUUAUGUCCAUAUAAAACAAUCACAAUUCACUGCUGGUUAUAUAUGCUUUAUACAAUCAUGUAUGUGACAAAUACAAAUCUUGAAUCUUGAGUGUGACAUCCAGUUAUCAAUCUAUUACAUAAACUGUUUUCAAAUUAAAAUUAAACCAGCAUUACACACUCAUCAUAAGACAAUAAAUCCUGUUUUGCUAUAUUUCACAUGACCCAUUCCUGAUUAUAUAAUAUACAGCAUUUAUAUUCUGCACAGUCAGCAUUAAAAAAGCACACACAGUUCCUAUUAGACACACAUUAAGACUCAC